UCCUCCUCGGCUACCGGCGGGAUGACGCUGCUGACGUCCAGCUCUGGGUACAAGGCAUGGACGGCAUCCCGACCGUCCUCGAACCCCACCCGGUACGAGGCGAAGCCCGACUCGAGCAUCUCCUCCCGGUAUUGGUCGGAGGCCCGAAAAUCUUCCACCGCCCGAUCGGCCGACUCUUUCGCCGACCUUGCCUCGUCCUCCGCACGGGCGAGCGACUCCCUCGCCGACUCCGCCUCAGCCUUCGCCAUUUCGGCGUCGAUCUGGGCGAUUGAUAGCUCCUCUUCGGCUUCGGCGAGCUUCUCCAAGCUGACCCG
Molecule: long non-coding RNA, 314 nt
Filed under: Elaeis guineensis (African oil palm)
Lineage: Eukaryota; Viridiplantae; Streptophyta; Magnoliopsida; Arecales; Arecaceae
Description: long non-coding RNA (EGUI_LNC019063)
Source: RNAcentral